UUUUGAAGCUAGCCAAACAAGGCCCUAAGAGGAGUUGGUGCAGUUAACCCAUGAUUGGGCCAACUGACCACUCUGCGCUCAGUUCUCUGAUCAUUAUAUACGACGUCUUCUUUUUCUUUUUUCAUUUUUGCCUAAGUCUAAGAAAUAUUCAGAGAAAGUCUGAGAAUUUCCAAGAAGAAUUAAGAUACUGUGAAAGAGAAUUGAGAGUGAGGAAAC
Molecule: long non-coding RNA, 216 nt
Filed under: Panax ginseng (ginseng)
Lineage: Eukaryota; Viridiplantae; Streptophyta; Magnoliopsida; Apiales; Araliaceae
Description: long non-coding RNA (PGIN_LNC011027)
Source: RNAcentral